GCCCGGGUGGCUCAGUCGGUUGAGCGUCCGACUUCGGCUCAGGUCAUGAUCUCACGGUCUGUGGGUUCGAGCCCCGCGUCGGGCU
Molecule: transfer RNA, 85 nt
Filed under: Felis catus (domestic cat)
Lineage: Eukaryota; Metazoa; Chordata; Mammalia; Carnivora; Felidae
Also listed under: 1 other name
Rfam family: tRNA
About the family: Transfer RNA (tRNA) molecules are approximately 80 nucleotides in length. Their secondary structure includes four short double-helical elements and three loops (D, anti-codon, and T loops).
Source: Rfam by way of RNAcentral